This 478-nucleotide ribosomal RNA is filed under the name uncultured bacterium. RNAcentral describes it as "partial 16S ribosomal RNA". It matches the Rfam family "Bacterial small subunit ribosomal RNA", at positions 28 to 507 of the family's 1533-position model. The record is from RNAcentral.
GAUGAACGCUGGCGGCGUGCUUAACACAUGCAAGUCGAACGAGAAGUGAAGACGGAAACCUUCGGGCGGAAGGCUUUAUUUCGAGUGGCGGACGGGUGAGUAACGCGUGGGUAACCUGCCUCAUACAGGGGGAUAACAGUUGGAAACGACAGUUAAUACCGCAUAAGACCACAGCACCGCAUGGUGCGGGGGUAAAAACUCCGGUGGUAUGAGAUGGACCCGCGUUCGAUUAGCCCGUUGGCGGGGUUACGGCACACGACAGCGACGAUCGAUAGCCGAUCUGAGAGGAUGACCGGCCACAUUGGGACUGAGACACGGCCCAAACUCCUACGGGAGGCAGCAGUGGGGAAUAUUGCACAAUGGGGGAAACCCUGAUGCAGCGACGCCGCGUGAGUGAAGAAGUAUUUCGGUAUGUAAAGCUCUAUCAGCAGGGAAGAAAAUGACGGUACCUGAGUAAGAAGCCCCGGCUAACUACGUG